GCUUCCGUAGCUCAAUUGGUUAAGAGCACUGCACGAAAUGCGAGGGUGCGGGUUCAAGUCCCGCCGGAAGCG
Molecule: transfer RNA, 72 nt
Filed under: Leguminivora glycinivorella
Lineage: Eukaryota; Metazoa; Arthropoda; Insecta; Lepidoptera; Tortricidae
Description: tRNA-Phe
Rfam family: tRNA
About the family: Transfer RNA (tRNA) molecules are approximately 80 nucleotides in length. Their secondary structure includes four short double-helical elements and three loops (D, anti-codon, and T loops).
Source: RNAcentral